Molecule: ribosomal RNA, 253 nt
Filed under: uncultured bacterium
Lineage: Bacteria
Description: partial 16S ribosomal RNA
Rfam family: Bacterial small subunit ribosomal RNA
Source: RNAcentral
UACGUAGGGGGCAAGCGUUGUUCGGAAUUACUGGGCGGAAAGGGCGCGUAGGCGGCACAGCAAGUCGGGAGUGAAAUCCCCGGGCUCAACCUGGGAAUUGCGAUGGAGACUGCAAGGCUAGAAUCUGGCAGAGGGGGGUAGAAUUCCACGUGUAGCAGUGAAAUGCGUAGAGAUGUGGAGGAACACCGAUGGCGAAGGCAGCCCCCUGGGUCAAGAUUGACGCUCAUGCACGAAAGCGUGGGGAGCAAACAGG